AAAAGAAUAAGCUAAUUUAAGCUUUUGGGCUCAUAUCCCAAAUAUGGACCUAUCCUUCUUUUA
Molecule: transfer RNA, 63 nt
Filed under: Cypridopsis vidua
Lineage: Eukaryota; Metazoa; Arthropoda; Ostracoda; Podocopida; Cyprididae
Description: tRNA-Met
Source: RNAcentral